GAUAAGAGUCAUUUGCUGGCAAGGACCAUCUCAUGGAGUUCUAAGAAUGCAAUCAAAGAGGCAGAAAUCAGAGCCGGGAGAGACACCAAGCUCCAAUGACCAUGCCAUCCCAGAGAUGAUAACACAAUAAAGUAUCUUUGCAAGAACCGUGUUAGCACCUGUGCAAUGACUGGGAGGAACCCGAUGACACUGCCCUCAAGAAAAGAUCCUCAAAGCUUCAUGGAAGAUACUGCAAGGGAGCAGACUGGUAAAGAGGGAAAGCCCAGGAACUCACAAGAGGAAAGGAAAUGGAGAUGGCAGCAGCAGGGAGAGGCACAUUAGCCCCAAAAAGAUCCAUCUGGGAGAAUCAACUUCUCUGAAUUUGAAGAGUCUUCUGUGAUUUGCCAGAACUGUUGUGAUGAAGAUUUUUCUUGGACUACUAGGCAGCCAAGCAAUUCCAAACCCUCCUUGGGACAUCUACUUCCAUUCCUUCCACUGGGUUCUGUCUGAGAGCCUGCAACCGGCAUCUCGUGCAGAUUUCAAAAUCGAAAUUCAGCAUUAUCGUAAUUACACAGAAAUAGCAUCAUAAUAUAUUGUCGUGGUUUGUUCUGUCUCAUUUGUAUUGCCAAAAAUUUUUUUUUUGUGGCCCAAGUCCCACUGAAUAGACAUCCUUACUGC
This is a non-coding RNA of Equus caballus (horse), 657 nucleotides long. NCBI's taxonomy places the organism in Eukaryota, Metazoa, Chordata, Mammalia, Perissodactyla, Equidae. The record is from RefSeq and is a predicted model, not a curated record.